Pelobates cultripes (western spadefoot toad) is the source of this 1168-nucleotide non-coding RNA. NCBI's taxonomy places the organism in Eukaryota, Metazoa, Chordata, Amphibia, Anura, Pelobatidae. The record is from the annotation of a GenBank genome assembly.
AGAGGUUAGCGGCACAGAGGGUCAGUUAUAUGAUAAUAAAUAGAGGUUAGUGGCUCAGUUAUAUGAUAAUAAAUAGAGGUUAGAGGCAGAGAGGGUCAGUUAUAUGAUAAUAAAUAGAGGUUAGAGGCAGAGAGGGUCAGUUAUAUGAUAAUAAAUAGAGGUUAGUGAUCACAGAGGGUCAGUUAUAUGAUAAUAAAUAGAGGUUAGUGGCUCAGAGGGUCAGUUAUAUGAUAAUAAAUAGAGGUUAGCGGCAGAGAGGGUCAGUUAUAUGAUAAUAAAUAGAGGUUAGUGACACAGAGGGUCAGUUAUAUGAUAAUAAAUAGAGGUUAGCGACACAGAGGGUCAGUUAUAUGAUAAUAAAUAGAGGUUAGCGGCACAGAGGGUCAGUUAUAUGAUAAUAAAUAGAGGUUAGUGAUCACAGAGGGUCAGUUAUAUGAUAAUAAAUAGAGGUUAGCAACACAGAGGGUCAGUUAUAUGAUAAUAAAUAGAGGUUAGUGGCUCAGAGGGUCAGUUAUAUGAUAAUAAAUAGAGAUUAGUGGCUCAGUAAUAGGAUAAUAUAGAGGUUAGUGGCUCAGUAAUUGGAUAAUAUAGAGGUUAGUGGCUCAGUAAUAGGAUAAUAUAGAGGUUAGUGGCACAGAGGGUCAGUUAUAUGAUAAUAAAUAGAGGUUAGUGGCUCAGUAAUUGGAUAUGGAGCUCAGACAGCCUACUUGCCCGGGGCUCGGGGUCCACACACGGGGGCCGGCAGUCAGUCAGUCCAGGGAUCCCCCAGGGGGGCCGGCCGGCAGUCAGUCCAGGGAUCCUUCGGGGGGGCCGGGCGACCUAUUGUUUGUGUGAGCAGCCGGCAGGCGGUGACUCAGGGAUGACCCAGCGGCACUUCCUGGUCUCGGCAGCAGGGACUGAGCGCGGCUGGAUGGGGGAGGCCGUAUCCCUGAUCGCCCGGCUUCCCACCGACCGCUCCUGUCAGCUCGAAUCAGCUGAUCGCUCUGAACUUCGGCCUUUUUUUUUUUUUUUUUUUACCGAGACUGAAUUACAAAACAAAGGACGUCACAGGAAAGUGCGCGCACGGCAUGCCGGGGGAUGCAGUCCAAGGUGUUUUCGUUUAGAAUGCGGCUGAAGGCGGGACAAGACUUCAUUUCCCGUCAUGCUCCGCGCGAGGCUGUCAGUACAG